RNAcentral lists this long non-coding RNA (2505 nucleotides) under Nicotiana benthamiana. Its description in RNAcentral is "long non-coding RNA (NBEN_LNC036337)". The record is from RNAcentral. Lineage: Eukaryota; Viridiplantae; Streptophyta; Magnoliopsida; Solanales; Solanaceae.
UAAAGAUCAACGUACCUAAAUCAAACUUAGAAACUAGAAAAAUAUAGAAAAGUAUAUUUGAAACCAACAGUCGAAUCCAAGAUACCUAAAUCAGAAUUAAUGUCUAAUAACAUGAUAUUGAACCAUUUCCGGCAUCCAGAUUUCCAAAGCCUUCUCUUUAUCCAAAGUGUUUCAUAGUUCCAAGGAAUCUCAGGGACUCUCGGCAUUGCUUACACCAAGGAUUCCAUUAGAAUUUGAACAGUGCAGUAUGGAGAGCCAACUCUCAGGCAUCAAGAUCAGAGGGAGAUCAAGGGUCCCAAAGCAUGGCUUGCAAACUUAAUAGCUAAGAGUAAGUACAAAAUGAAAGGGGAAUUGAGGAGCCAUGACAAGUGGUGGUCAUGCCUAUCCACAAAGUAGGAUGGCACGCCCGUGACCACUUGUUUGGUUAAACAAAUUAGGAGCAUAUCCCUGAAGGUCAUACCAAGGUCUGGAUAGUGACUAGGACACUAUCAGAUCCAAGUCCAAGGCUCAAACACAAAAGGGGAGAAAGGGAGUGGGAACUGAUUGAGUUAGGGAUUAAAAGAACCCAGUUCAGAAUCAUAAACAACAAUAUUAGAGUGUUGUUAUGCCUUGAACCAUAACUUGCAUAUAAAAGGGUAAAGGGUAAGGGAAUUCACAUAAGAACAAUAAUGACAAAGUUACAGAAGAACAGUCAAGAAAAGCAUAACGUAACUAGAAUGUAAAACACAUAGUGGAGGAGCAAUAUUAAAAUAAGAUGGACAUACCAGUUGCAAAGUAACAGAAAGAGAAUAACAGAGUAACCACAACAAGUAAAUAGCAGAAACAACUCAGGUUUUCAGCAGAACACUCGAACUUAAAGGUAUUUCAGAAAGCAAAAAGGAGAAGUACACAGAACUAGUCUGUGUAUUCGAGAGAAGAAGAGAGUGGAAAAUAAGUUGCCAAUUGCUUGAUUGUUAUUUCCUUUUCUUGUUUAUUACUUUCUUUUUGAAAAGGGGGAGGGCUACGCCCUUCAUAUUGUUUUUUUGAAAAACAAGUGAGGCGGGAAAGAGGGUACAAACAUAGAAACUGAUCAAAUUAGUAUCAAUUAGGGUAAUCAGACCCAUUUAAUUAAGGUUCUAAUUCAAACGACUAAGAAGGAAGAGAGAAUCAGUUUAUUAGGGCUAAUUUAAGGUAAAGAAACCAUAUAGUACACAAACAAUGUCACAUAGACAAUUGGUAUUUAAGAAAAGACGUCACAGUAGGUAUAACUUUGAAAAAUCAAUCGAAGAAUCUCGGAUGCAGUUGCAAAUCACAAAGAAACUACGAUAAUUAAGGAAGUAAAUAAUUCAGACAUUGGUACAAAAUUACAAAAGAUACAUGAUCAAUUAUUUAAGGAAAACAUCAGUAGGUAAAAGAGGUUCAAUCAAGUGAAAAUCAAUGACGAAUUUCCUAGCCUAAUUAAAGGGAUUUCAAAAAUAAACUUUGAAAGGGAAGCUUAUAUAUAAAGCACACAGUUCAAACCAAAGAAGAACAAUGAGAGUUUUCAUAAUCACAUACAAAUAGAGUUUUGAGUUCGAUUACAGGCUUGUUGUGAGUUUGUAAACCUAGGGUUUCAAAGUGAAACCCUAGUGUCUUUUAAUCAAAGAAAACCCCCAAAAUUAUAGGGUUUCCUCACAGAAACGAGAAGGCAAGUGAACAGACUCGAGGAGUGUUAUGAGAGUCAGGCAAAUACAAUAGCAGGCUUGAAACAGUCAAAGAAAGAAAACCAUUUUAAGCCAUGAAGAACAUGCUCAGACAAUUUCAAAAGUUAAGAAAAGACGAAACAUGCUUAACAAGCACACGACCAUAGUCAAGAAACUCAGUAGUAAAUACACACAUGAGGAAAGUUUAACACAGAUUAAUCAUGUGAGCACACAUAUAAAGAAAAGAAGGACAAUACAUGGAUUAUAGAGAAAGAAAACAUACAAGCAUGAUACAGAAAAGAUCAACACGAAUCAAAAGACUUUCAGAAACCCCAGCUUUGAAAUCAAAUGAUUUUUAAAAAGGAAAAUUCGGGAAAAUACUUAAAACGUCAAAUAUAGCAUAGAUUCACCACAGAUCUAGGCAAAUAAAUGAAGAAAGAAGCUUGAAUAGGCUAGGGUUGCAGAGAACCUUAAAGGAUGAGAAGGCUUGGAAGUCUCGAGAUUGGUUCUGAGCUGAUAAGGUCGACUCCAUGCUCGAGCUGAGAGAUGACGGAGAAAAGUAUGAAACGACCAAAUAAACUCGAAUCGGCCAAGGUCUGGAUGAAUACCUUUGAGGUCUAGCCUUGAAUCUUCAGCGAACAGACGUAUAGGAGCAAGAGAUGGUGGGUAGAGGUUGUCCAUGGCUAGAUUAGCCAUGGAUUCCAGUGAUUUGAGGUAAAAACGGGAGGUAGGCGGCUAUUAGGGUUUCAGAAGUUGAGAGGAUUUGAGAGAGACGAGAGGAACUAGAGGUGACAGAUUUGGAGAAAAGGGGUAGGAUUAGGGUCGUUUGGGACUAAAAAAGGAA